RNAcentral lists this ribosomal RNA (322 nucleotides) under uncultured bacterium. Its description in RNAcentral is "bacterial SSU rRNA". It matches the Rfam family "Bacterial small subunit ribosomal RNA", at positions 43 to 395 of the family's 1533-position model. The record is from RNAcentral.
UAGGCCUAACACAUGCAAGUCGAACGCAUCGCAAGAUGAGUGGCGCACGGGUGAGUAACACGUGGGAAUGUAUCCUUUGGUUCGGAAUAACGUCUGGAAACGGACGCUAAUACCGGAUGAGCCCUUAGGGGGAAAGAUUUAUCGCCGAAGGAGCAGCCCGCGUCUGAUUAGGUAGUUGGUGGGGUAAAGGCCUACCAAGCCGACGAUCAGUAGCUGGUCUGAGAGGAUGAUCAGCCACACUGGGACUGAGACACGGCCCAGACUCCUACGGGAGGCAGCAGUGGGGAAUCUUUAGGAGUGGGCGCAAGCCUGAUCCAACCAU